This is a long non-coding RNA of Puntigrus tetrazona (Sumatra barb), 2363 nucleotides long. RefSeq lists it as uncharacterized. The record is from RefSeq and is a predicted model, not a curated record. Lineage: Eukaryota; Metazoa; Chordata; Actinopteri; Cypriniformes; Cyprinidae. The transcript is spliced from 3 exons.
AUAUUGCUUCUCUCGUAGUUGGAGUCUUGAGACAUCAAUUGUCAAGUUGCAAAAGCAGAGUGAAGUAAGAGGAAAGCGUGUCUGUGCCGCGAGAUCUUUGUCAGAGACAUGCUGAGAGGUCUGAGAGGGAGGGCAAGAGAAAGCUUGACACUUUGUGUAGCGCAGUAUUUUUAAAACUAAGUGUGAGAGCAGACAGGCUGCAGAGAGAGAGAGAGGUCAGAGGGGUCAAGGAGGGCAGGAAAAAUAACUGAUAGGAAAUAAGUGUGCAUGACUGAAGAGCACAAGCUGACUGGAGGUGGGACUGGGGUGUGUGAGGAGAACAUCUGGACACUGACAGACGAAAACACAAUACGCACUUCUACAAAAAAAGAACGGCCUGACUCGCUGACCUCCCCGGGGUUAAUAAUACACUGGCAGUGUGGACACAGGACGCUCAAAAUGCCUAGGCACACACACCGCUCCAUUUACCCGGAUUAUUCACUCAUUUCCAAACAGCCGGGGAAUUAUAAAGCACCCGAAGGUUGCACGCGCAGGCCUUGAAGUGCAGGGGGUGUGUGUCUUGCUCUACCCCUGCACUCAGGAUGUGUGUUUUGAUUUUAUGGCUCAGAGGAGGACGUGGCGUGAUGACCUCAGCUCCUGACCCCAGGUCGUCUCAUUCAAACCGACUGCACAUAACAAUCAAUUUCUAAUCAUAACCCAAGAGUUAGUGUAAGCUCUGACCUAUGCAUUAUUCAGCUGAGGGACAAGGGCAAGCAAUGAAAGGCCCUACGCGCAAAUCAUGAAUAUUUAACAUGGAUCUCUUUUACCAAUCUACAGCGACGCUUCUCUGUAACCACAGCGAUUAAACAGAAUGUUGGAACAAAAAAAUGACGGUGUAGGAGUAUAUUUAUUCUCUUUUACCCCCGAUCGUCGCUCACACUUGUGCCGGGAACACUUGUCUCUCCGGUUCAUAACAACUGCUUGAGAGUAAAUCAAUAACAACAGACUGAACGAGAGUCGUGCAAAUCAUUAUUUUCAGCCGGCAUGUAUGUGAGGCACAUUUCUGAGAAAAAGCACACAUUGCCUAGCAAACCAUUUUAGAAAAACUCCAUCCUGCCUCUGCCAAGCUCAUCAACGUCAUUUAUUUUUUCCAUGAUGAAAUAUAUUUCUCAUUUAAAUGCAACUACCAUCCUAUAUAAAACACUUAAGACCAACAUAGCUGGAGCUUUGAUUGUCAUUAUAAAUUGUAUAUUGUAUAAAUUGUAAUUUAUUUUAUUUUAUUUGCAGUGUUAUUAAUUUAUAACAUUUUAUAGUAUUUGUGUCUUUUUUAAUAUUAUUUAAUUGAAUGGGCUUACAGCAAUAACAUUUUGAAAAUGAUUAAAACUUAAAAAAAAAAAAAAAGUGUUAUUUAACAAUUGUUAUUUAAGAGUUUCCAGUGAUGACAGUGUAAAAUAUUGGCAAUAAACAUAUUUAUUUAUUUAUUUAUUUUUGUUUUGUUUUUCCAAUGAUAUGUAAAAUACCGACAAUAGUAGCUUUUGGUUUAUUUUUCUUUAAAAUUAUGCAUUUGACUAAAAUAUGAUUUUUCUUCUCCCUAGUUUCGUUAACUCAGCGCACUGAUUUUGACUGGAUUACAGACAAGCGUUGAACGUUCAAUACCAAAGAAUGCAAAGUCGCCAGAAACACAGAAGCUGUCUAAAAUUUCACCACUGUCUGCAACAGCGUAGCACCCAUUUCCUCUCUUCUGCUGUGCACUCAACUUUACAACUCAUUUAGCUGUGUCUAUUCAUAUUAAAAAGCAAUUUCAUUUAUCACGUUUCUUGAUAAACAGCAAUGCUUGAGAAUGUUUUUGUUGUGUGUCACUGAAUUGAAAAAGAUGAAAUUGUAUUGUGCAGCUUCUUUACUCAGUUUUCUUCUGUCACUUGCGAUUAAGCUGAAUUCUAACAUACAGCAUCAGCUGUAAAGGAACUGUCCUUCCUGUAAUGGUAAAGGGAGCAGAACAGCUCAAUAAAUGCCGGUAAUAUUAAUAACCCACAGGAUAUUGUCAUGUAAGGUCACUAAAUGCGAGCUACGUUUUAUUUAAUAUUGCAGACUAAAGACAAACUGAAGACAUGAGGUGUCCACCAACAGAAGAUAUGCAAUGUCCUUCCUUUACAGGUUAUUUUUACCACAUUCAUUUAUUUAUUUAUUUUAUUUUAUUUUUUAAUGGAUAACCUUUUAAACACCUUUUCAGCUAGGCAUUUUACCACUCAAAAUGUAGUAUUGAUAUGUUUACAGCAGGAGAUUUAAGAACCUGAUCUUUAUUUAAUGUCCCACUGAUUUUUGGCAUAAAAAAUAGAUACUUUUUUACCCAUACAAUGUUUUGUUGGCUGUUGCUACAAAUAAGC